UUGGAGGGCAAGUCUGGUGCCAGCAGCCGCGGUAAUUCCAGCUCCAAUAGCGUAUAUUAAAGUUGUUGCAGUUAAAAAGCUCGUAGUUGAAUUUCGGGGUUAGUAGGUUGGUCAUGCCUCUGGUAUGUACUGGUCUCACUGAUUCCUCCUUCCUGAUGAACCGUAAUGCCAUUAAUUUGGUGUUGCGGGGAAUUUGGACUGUUACUUUGGAAAAAUUAGAGUGUUUAAAGCAAGCUAACGCUUGAAUACAUUAGCAUGGAAUAAUGAAAUAGGACGUUCGAUCCUAUUUUGUUGGUUUCUAGGAUUGACGUAAUGAUUAAUAGGGAUAGUUGGGGGCAUUAGUAUUCAAUUGUCAGAGGUGAAAUUCUUGGAUUUAUUGAAGACUAACUACUGCGAAAGCAUUUGCCAAGGAUGUUUUCACUAAUCAAGAACGAAAGUUAGGGGAUCGAAGACGAUCAGAUACCGUCGUAGUCUUAACCAUAAACUAUGCCGACUAGGGAUCGGAUGAUGUUAAUUUUUUAAUGACUCAUUCGGCGCCUUACGGGAAACCAAAGUGUUUGGGU
RNAcentral lists this ribosomal RNA (563 nucleotides) under uncultured Glomus. RNAcentral describes it as "SSU rRNA". It matches the Rfam family "Eukaryotic small subunit ribosomal RNA", at positions 548 to 1112 of the family's 1831-position model. Lineage: Eukaryota; Fungi; Glomeromycota; Glomeromycetes; Glomerales; Glomeraceae. The record is from RNAcentral.